RNAcentral lists this ribosomal RNA (523 nucleotides) under uncultured Photobacterium sp. RNAcentral describes it as "bacterial SSU rRNA". It matches the Rfam family "Bacterial small subunit ribosomal RNA", at positions 983 to 1506 of the family's 1533-position model. Lineage: Bacteria; Pseudomonadati; Pseudomonadota; Gammaproteobacteria; Vibrionales; Vibrionaceae. The record is from RNAcentral.
GACAUCCAGAGAACUUUCCAGAGAUGGAUUGGUGCCUUCGGGAACUCUGAGACAGGUGCUGCAUGGCUGUCGUCAGCUCGUGUUGUGAAAUGUUGGGUUAAGUCCCGCAACGAGCGCAACCCUUAUCCUUGUUUGCCAGCACGUAAUGGUGGGAACUCCAGGGAGACUGCCGGUGAUAAACCGGAGGAAGGUGGGGACGACGUCAAGUCAUCAUGGCCCUUACGAGUAGGGCUACACACGUGCUACAAUGGCGUAUACAGAGGGCUGCCAACCAGCGAUGGUGAGCGAAUCCCAGAAAGUACGUCGUAGUCCGGAUUGGAGUCUGCAACUCGACUCCAUGAAGUCGGAAUCGCUAGUAAUCGUGAAUCAGAAUGUCACGGUGAAUACGUUCCCGGGCCUUGUACACACCGCCCGUCACACCAUGGGAGUGGGCUGCACCAGAAGUAGAUAGCUUAACCUUCGGGAGGGCGUCUACCACGGUGUGGUUCAUGACUGGGGGAAGUCGUAACAAGGUAACCAAGGG